Molecule: long non-coding RNA, 2210 nt
Organism: Chelonus insularis
Lineage: Eukaryota; Metazoa; Arthropoda; Insecta; Hymenoptera; Braconidae
Exons: 5
Source: RefSeq, a predicted model, not a curated record
GGUUGUCAAUUUGCUUUGCAUACUGACACAUUGAUAAAGAGACUAGUACUCAUGUGUUUUCCGUGCCAACGCUUUCACAGCCAAAAAAGUUCAGUUGGUCAUGGCCUGAUCCGUUAUUUUUACCACGAAAUAUACAAAAUUAAAUCGCAAUCAAUGCUAUAUUAUAAUAUUAUCUAAUUAGCUUCUUAUUAAUUAUAUUAAGUUUCUAAUAAAGCGUUGACAGGGUAAUUUCCAUUUUUAAUUAAAUAAAAAAUCUUACAAUUUAAUCUUUAUUUGAUUUAUACCAAUUUAAACAUUAUACCCUUUUUUGACGUGCUCCAAUUAAGUUCCUGACACGUGGCAGUUAUUUACACGGUAGCACAUUAUCCAUGAUACACACGCGUUCGCUAUCGUGGCCAGUACAUGUACUCAUAAAUCAGCUGUGCAAUGAUUGAAAGUGUUGAAAACUUCAUUUAAAAAUAAAUUAAAAAAUUCUGCUAAUAUAUCAGAUAAUAACCAAUAUUGGAUGUAAUUUUUCAACAUCAUCUUAAUUAAUAGUACAUAUAAUUUUAACAUUAAAAAAAGAGCUAUUCAGGAACUAAUUAAUAAGUUAAAAACAAACUUCCGGUUAAGUGUAAUUUUAUAGAUCAAAUCUUUCAUUUCUUCGAAAUCUCUCGAGUUUUUUACGCAGUAAAACAAAACGAAAAAAAAAAUAAAUUAAAGAAAUCGGGCUUUAGCAUGUAGUCAAGGACGACCUCAGUGAAAAAUUUACUUGGUUCAUUGAAAAAAAAAGAAAAUAAUGAAUAAUAUAGAAGUCAAAGGAAGAGAUGAAGCCUUUUGUUAGUUUAUUUCUUUGGCCGAUUGGUUGAUCAAACAAUGCAAGGACCGAUCGGAUCCCGCAUAGACCCACAUAAUUAAAGGGGGUAUAAUCAUGGUCCUCCAUAUACUCCUCCUUUCCGUCGAUACUCACAUUAACUUAAUUGCUUUAUUGGAUUAGAUUCAGUGUAAAAUUGAGGAGAAAAUUUGCAAACGUUCCUCACAUAAAUAACCUCAUUUGUUUUCAAAUCUUUAUUUGUUGAUGAAUUUUAUUAUUCAAAGAAUUAGAAAUAAUAUAAAACAGUAUGUUGGAAAAGGUUAUGACAAGCAUCAGUCAACGAUUCUAACCAGCAAUUACGAGAUUACGAUGUAACACUAAAGGUGGUAAAACGUUGGCAAAGGUCAACUGGGGUCUCCAUAUCACAUUUUAGCAUACAUUCAACAUAUACUGUGUGUCAUGUCUUGCAGUAACGAGCUGCUAACGUGGGCGGACAUUCGUGAAACAAGUGGGAUCUCAAGUGAGGUGGAAUGAGAACUGAAGAAAAAAAUCGUCCUCUUCAAGAUGACUAUGAAUUUAUCGAAUGGUUAUAAAUUAGGCCAUGAACAUUCUGUGGUACUUGACCAGGUAGCUGACCAAAAAAGCGUGACUAGAUUGUCUUCACUAAAGUUGGUGCGCGGAUAAGCAGAAUGGACCAUCUUUCUUUGGAUUAUUAUGGAAAAUAAUUGGAUUGAAUAAUUCAACAUGAUUUGAUUAUCACAUUGAAUUAUUUUUUAAAUUUUGAACACCUCUGAGUCUUUAAAGUUUGACAACACAUUUUCUAUGGAUUGUUGAUGAUAUUCAUAAUAUAUUAUAUAAACUUGAUGCACGUGCCUGCUAUCAUUUUUGAGUGAUUUACAGCUGACUUUUACUUCAAAUUACACAUGUAAAAGUCAAAUUUAAAAAUAGCACUUGAUGGUGUUACAAGAAAGGUUUUUUUUUCUUGGUGUUAUUCUACUCAAUUAAUAAUUAUGCACUUGAAUGGAGGAUAUAUGAUAGAGUUAUAGGGUAUUUCGCGAGAUCCAGAUGGAACAGGAAGCCAUAUAAUACAGAACGAAGCGUGCAGCGAUAAAUACUUGUGUAGCCCUUAAGACACCUGCCUGGAUAGUACACAGAUGCUGAAUGCGAGAACGGAAGAUACAUAAUAAUACUAAGCAUGAUUAUACAAAUGACCUAACAACCGAAUCUUAAAAAGUUGCAGUGUCCUUUAUUUUAUUGUUUUCUAGGAUUCCUAGUAGCAGGAUUCUAUUCAGACUUAUUCUUACAUACCUCUUCUUCAUAAUAAUUUUAUCGUUGUAAAAUUAUAAAUGCAUUGCUCUUUAAAAUAUUUUGCUCUAUUUUUCUGCAUGAAAACCUCAAAUUACUUUUAACAGUAAAA